GCUGCAUGGCGGCAAGGAGGCGGUGGACGGGCUGCUCACGAGCCCCGACGUGGCGGCCGUGUCGUUCGUGGGUUCCACGCCCAUCGCGCGGUAC
Molecule: transfer RNA, 94 nt
Filed under: Microbacterium album
Lineage: Bacteria; Bacillati; Actinomycetota; Actinomycetes; Micrococcales; Microbacteriaceae
Description: tRNA-Sec
Source: RNAcentral